RNAcentral lists this long non-coding RNA (887 nucleotides) under Mytilus galloprovincialis (Mediterranean mussel). The record is from RNAcentral. Lineage: Eukaryota; Metazoa; Mollusca; Bivalvia; Mytilida; Mytilidae.
AUUAACACUUUCACUACUGAUUUUAUUUUUUCCGCGGGUUUCUGUGGCCGAGGCAAAUUUGCACGCUCAGAUUCCCCAGCCUGAAUUAAUUUCGUGACCGGUGCUUCAAGAAAAGUUGCAAAUUGAAAAACGUGCUGUAACUCGAGAACGCAGUCUCAGAUCGCCUAAACAACUGAUACAGAAGUUCAAAAGGUUGCUCUGUAAAAGAUUUUCCUAGUGAAUUAAAAUUAAAACAAAAAAUAAUGUCUUUACAAUGCUUGAAAGAUCGAUUUUUGUUACCUUUUUAGCUCAAUGUUGCCAAAAUGUCGACAUUCGGAUGUACUUUUUUACGUUAAAAAUGUGUUUAAACGGAUAUAAUUCAGCAAAUCAUUAUAACCGAGUCUUCUUAUUUAUCUUAUCACUCGUUUUUUGUCAUUUAAACAUCGUUUAUAGCAAAACCGAAGCUUUUUAUCUCUCCUAAAUUAACCGUUUGACUUUUCGUUUCCGACCGCCAUUUGUAUUGAUGAAAAGACAACUCUGUCAAUCGACGAACGACUACUCGUUUUCAAAGUGAUAGAUCAUGAUACGAUCAUAUACUCAUAUACGGAUACCACGGAUACGUUGUUGAUAUUGUAAACACUGGUAUUAAAGAGUGUUAUUAAACAAACAAGAUAUGUUUGUUGUUUCAUUUUCCCUGGUAAACAUAACAAUACUUUAUAAAAAAAAAAAAAAAAAAAAAAAAAAUCUGCUAAAAAAAAUUAUUUUGGUUCAAUCAGACAUAUACGUCUCUGGUUCAAUUAGUCCAUGCUGCCUAUUUUAGAAGAAUAAAAAAGCAGAAUAUAGUUGGUCAUGAUUAUCUUUUAUAAGUAGAUAAACAAAAUGGAUUAAUUAUUUACCAGGGUCAACCA